GACCAGCGCCGCGCAGCCGGCCGAGAUGAGCUUGCCACCACAGAGUACCUGCGACCGCACAUACCACCAGGAAAAUACAUUGGUUAGUGUCUUACCAUGUAUGCCUCACGCCCUUAUGUCCAGAGUAAAAGAUUUGAACUUUUUCGCUUUUUCGCCGCGUGCCUUGGGGAACUCGAGGUGGAGGAUUAUUAUUCUAUGAUUGUGGACCUGCCUGCAAUUUUCCUAAGGGCCAGUGUCACAAGGGCAAUGCAGAAACUUUGGUCAACGUGUGUCUUGGAAUAUAAAUUCAGAAAUCUGUAUGAAUUGGAUUUCAUCAUGGUCGACCACGAGGUGCAAUACCCAACACAUAUUUUCAUGAUGCAUGUUUAGUUAACACACUUAUUGUUGCACAACAUGGGGUAUUGAUAUAUUUCUGCAGUAUCCUAAGAUGUAUCUCUGAUUUUUAAAAUCGAUAUAGUCCAUUAAUUACCAGAGCACUAGCUGUUGGUUAGCUUAUUUGUUUCCUCUUUUAUCUUCUCAGGGAGGAACCAAUUGCGGUAAAUAGUGUGUUGAUUUUUCCCCUCCCAAGCUCAUCACAGUGCAUAUUAGCACGAGUGCGUAAAUUUUAGAGGUACACUAUUAUGGAAAAAAAUGAAAGACCAACAACUACUUGGUUCUCUGCAUUUGCACAAUAUUCAGUCUCAGCGAGUCAUUUUAGGCAGAUAGGCCACACUGCUAGCAGGACUUAUUUGUAAGGUUAACACAUUACAUUCUCAGGCAUCCCGUAUGCGUGCUUUAAAAUAUCCAUGCGGCUACCAAAAUUCAUUCAAUAAGGAAUCCUUGGUUGCUAUACUGUUCGUUGCUGACAGACUUAUCUGCUUUCACAAUACAAAUUUUGCCUUGGUCAGUACUGCAGGGAAACACAAUGAAAGGUUAUGUGCCAACCACUUUCAUCGGUCAGUUUAGAGAGCAGCUAGAGGAGAGAUCAACAUGUACACUUGACAUGUUUAUCGUCACCGAUGCGAAAGACAAACAUAUAAGCAGACCAUCCAUGCGAGAUACAGAAGCUAUGCCCACUAAGGGUAUCAUAGAAACAAUUCAUUUAGACAUAGGCAUGGUAACUAUACAUGACAGCCACUGUAACAACAGUGUAGCAUAGUAAUCACCUAUGUAGCUGCAUGCGAAAGGAUUACAAUAGGUUCCAACUGUUGCAUGCCAGCUUCUGCUUGCUCUUUCUGUGUACGGUCUACUCACUUUGUGGGUGUUGUAUGUAGGUACCUGAUAAAUGUUCAGUUGUGUUUUUCUUCAGAGUUUGUAACUA
Lolium rigidum is the source of this 1300-nucleotide long non-coding RNA. RefSeq lists it as uncharacterized. The transcript is spliced from 3 exons. The record is from RefSeq and is a predicted model, not a curated record. NCBI's taxonomy places the organism in Eukaryota, Viridiplantae, Streptophyta, Magnoliopsida, Poales, Poaceae.